RNAcentral lists this ribosomal RNA (1165 nucleotides) under Burkholderia glumae. RNAcentral's name for it is "bacterial SSU rRNA". It matches the Rfam family "Bacterial small subunit ribosomal RNA", at positions 80 to 1246 of the family's 1533-position model. The record is from RNAcentral. Lineage: Bacteria; Pseudomonadati; Pseudomonadota; Betaproteobacteria; Burkholderiales; Burkholderiaceae.
UGCACCUGGUGGCGAGUGGCGAACGGGUGAGUAAUACAUCGGAACAUGUCCUGUAGUGGGGGAUAGCCCGGCGAAAGCCGGAUUAAUACCGCAUACGAUCUACGGAUGAAAGCGGGGGACCUUCGGGCCUCGCGCUAUAGGGUUGGCCGAUGGCUGAUUAGCUAGUUGGUGGGGUAAAGGCCCACCAAGGCGACGAUCAGUAGCUGGUCUGAGAGGACGACCAGCCACACUGGGACUGAGACACGGCCCAGACUCCUACGGGAGGCAGCAGUGGGGAAUUUUGGACAAUGGGCGAAAGCCUGAUCCAGCAAUGCCGCGUGUGUGAAGAAGGCCUUCGGGUUGUAAAGCACUUUUGUCCGGAAAGAAAUCCUGAGGGCUAAUAUCCUUCGGGGAUGACGGUACCGGAAGAAUAAGCACCGGCUAACUACGUGCCAGCAGCCGCGGUAAUACGUAGGGUGCGAGCGUUAAUCGGAAUUACUGGGCGUAAAGCGUGCGCAGGCGGUUUGUUAAGACCGAUGUGAAAUCCCCGGGCUCAACCUGGGAACUGCAUUGGUGACUGGCAAGCUAGAGUAUGGCAGAGGGGGGUAGAAUUCCACGUGUAGCAGUGAAAUGCGUAGAGAUGUGGAGGAAUACCGAUGGCGAAGGCAGCCCCCUGGGCCAAUACUGACGCUCAUGCACGAAAGCGUGGGGAGCAAACAGGAUUAGAUACCCUGGUAGUCCACGCCCUAAACGAUGUCAACUAGUUGUUGGGGAUUCAUUUCCUUAGUAACGUAGCUAACGCGUGAAGUUGACCGCCUGGGGGAGUACGGUCGCAAGAUUAAAACUCAAAGGAAUUGAGGGGGACCCGCACAAGCGGUGGAUGAUGUGGAUUAAUUCGAUGCAACGCGAAAAACCUUACCUACCCUUGACAUGGUCGGAACCUUGGAGAGAUCUGAGGGUCCGCGAAAGAGAACCGAUACUCAGGUGCUGCAUGGCAGUCGUCAGCUCGUGUCGUGAGAUGGUGGGUUAAGUCCCGCAACGAGCGCAACCCUUGCCCUUAGUUGAGACGCAAGAGCACUCUAGGGAGACUGCCGGUGACAAACCGGAGGAAGGUGGGGAUGAAGUCAAGUCCUCAUGGCCCUUAUGGGUAGGGCUUCACACGUCAUUCAAUGGUCGGAACAGAGGG